Molecule: long non-coding RNA, 2350 nt
Organism: Oncorhynchus tshawytscha (Chinook salmon)
Lineage: Eukaryota; Metazoa; Chordata; Actinopteri; Salmoniformes; Salmonidae
Source: Ensembl
CUGUUAUCUACUGGUCCUAGACCUGCUAACCCUAACCCCAACCCUCCCUGUUCGUCUCCAGGUCUCUGGUCCCCCUGUCUGUUAUCUACUGGUCCUAGACCUGAUAAUCCUAACCCCAACCAUCCCUGUUCGUCUCCAGGUCCCUGGUCCCACUGUCUGUUAUCUACUGGUCCUAGACCUGAUAACCCUAACCCCAACCAUCCCUGUUCGUCUCCAGGUCCCUGGUCCCACUGUCUGUUAUCCUGGUUGUUCUACUGGUCCUAGACCUGCUGUCUGCCAAGAUGGGUCAGCUCAAACUACUGGUCUCAGAACAGUUCUACAACGACAACGCAGACCAGAGGGUGCAGCAACUUCAUGCUAUGAUCAGCCACAAAAGAGCCAAGACGAGGCCUCCAACGAAGAGGACUGCUCUGCUGAGACUGCUAAAACAAAAAAGCUUCUGGUUUCCACUGUUCUUCCACACUGCGAAGGAGAUAUGCGUCUCACCUGAAGAAAUCCAAAACAGUGAUCAUCUGGGAAAUUGAUUUUUGCUUUGUCAUGCAUUCAGGCAAUCACCUGUAGAAUUACUUAAAGACCUAGGACUAGAUUCAAUUUUGUUUUGAAUUACAUUGCUAUUUUGUGUAAAUGUUGCACAAAGAUCAACAGUUUAUUCUAUUCGCUGUAAAUAUGUCUUGUAUUAUAAACAAAUUUCUAUAGUUAGUGUUUGAAUAAGUUUGUUGUACAAAGGAUUGGGCUCCAAAACUAUCACAAAUAUGGCUUUGACUUCAUUAAAGUAAAUAUCGGAGUAAUCUUCUCUGAUUUGCUUUGAUGUUGUCUUUAUGAAUAAGAUACAGUUGAAGUCGCAAGUUUGCAUACACCUUAGCCAAAUACAUUUAAACUCCGUUUUUACCAAUUCCUGACAUUUAAUCCUAAUAAAAAUUCCCUGUCUUAAGUCAGUUAGAAUAAUAGUAGAGAUAAUUAUUUUUUUUCAUCUUUUAUUUCUUUCAUCACGAUGGUCAUUAUGGCCAAAUAGUUAAAUUCUUGUUUCAUCAGACAGGAGGACAUUUCUCCAAAAAGUACGAUCUUUGUCCCCAUGUGCAGUUGCAAACCAUAGUCUGGCUUUUUAUGGCUGUUUUGAAGCAGUGGCUUCUUCCUUGCUGAGCGGCCUUUCAAGUUAUGUCGACAUAGGACUUGUUUUACUGUGGAUAUAGAUACUUUGUACCUGUUUCCUCCAGCAUUUUCACAAGGUCCUUUUCUGUUGUUCUGGUAUUGAUUUGAACUUUUCGCACCAAAGUACAUUCAUCUCUAGGAGACAGAAUGCGUCUCCUUCCUGAGCGGUAUGACGGCCGCGUGGUCCAUGGUGUUUAUACUUGCAUACUAUUGUUUGUACAGAUGAACGUGGUACCUUCAUGCGUUUGGAAAUUGCUCCCAAGGAUGAACCAGACAUGUGGAGAUCUACAAUUUUUUUUCUGAGGUCUUGGGUGAUUUCUUUUGAUUUCCCAAUGAUGUCAAGCAAAGAGGAACUGAGUUUGAAGGUAGGGCUAGAAAUACAUACACAGGUACACCUCCAAUUGACUCAAAUGAUGUCAAUUAGCCUAUCAGAAGCUUCAAAAGCCAUUACAUAAUUUUCUGGAAUUUUCCAAGAUGUUUAAAGGCACAGUCAACUUAGUGUAUGUAAACUUAUGACCCACUGGCAUUGUGAAAAGUGAAAUAAUCUGUCUGUAAACAAUUGUUGGAAAAAUGACUUGUGUCAUGCACAAAGUAGAUGUCCUAACGACUUGCCAAAACUAUAGUUUGUUAACAAGAAAUGUGUGGAGUGGUUGAAUUAAUGACUCCAACAUAAGUGUAUGAAAACUUCUGACUUCAACUGUACAUGCAUUUAAAUUGUGCUCUAACGCUCAUAAAUAUGCCUUUGAUUUCAUUAAAGUAAACCUCAAACAUAAAGCAAUAUUCUCUUUUUUAUUGUCUUUAUAUGCAUUACAAUGGCAACGGCAAUGUCUUCCAACUGCAAGAAGUCCUCUAGCAAUGUCUGAUCUUUUACUUAUGUGUUUUGUUAGACAACUUUUUAGGCUUUCAAGGUGUUGGUCUGAUGGGGAUCUGUGACGUCAUCUUGUUUGAGGAACAAUAAAUAACAAAAGAGGAUAGCCCCAACUGUGCCAUGCCAUGAUUUACCUGGACCACCUGUUGAGAUGUGCCUCUUGUUAAGUAGCCUACCUGGUUAAAUAAAGGUGAAAUAUAUAUAUCUUUUUUUAAGUAAGUGCCAUUUUACUAAAAUAAAAAGCAAUAUAUUUACAUUCACCUCUCAAACUGUUUACAGUAAACAGAGCUAAAACAACUAUCUAGGUUUGUUGCAUAAGAAAUUAAUAAAUAG